Molecule: transfer RNA, 69 nt
Filed under: Notocochlis sp. HL-2020
Lineage: Eukaryota; Metazoa; Mollusca; Gastropoda; Littorinimorpha; Naticidae
Description: tRNA-Phe
Rfam family: tRNA
About the family: Transfer RNA (tRNA) molecules are approximately 80 nucleotides in length.
Source: RNAcentral
UAUUUUAGUAGCUUAUAAAUAAGAGCAUAGCACUGAAGAUGCUAAGGAAGCAGUUCUGCUCUAGAAUAU